Rhagoletis zephyria (snowberry fruit fly) is the source of this 2247-nucleotide long non-coding RNA. RefSeq lists it as uncharacterized. The record is from RefSeq and is a predicted model, not a curated record. NCBI's taxonomy places the organism in Eukaryota, Metazoa, Arthropoda, Insecta, Diptera, Tephritidae.
GUUAGCAACAGAAAGCUGGAACAAAUUUUUUAGAUUUUACCAAACAAAUGUUAGGUUGUUCAAUUACUUCAUCAUGUUUACUAUUAUUGUAGAAAGGCUACUCUGGCUCUCAUAUUACUUCGUUUUCACCAAAUUGAUCGCUAUAUAUGACAGAUUUUGCCAAUCAUUAUCUUACAGUAUGUAGCUAUUGCAUAUUAUGUGCAAAACUCGAUUUAAAUGCUGUAUCGUUCAUCAGCUAUGAACUUAACAUUUUAUUAAAAGUAUUGUUAUCAACGUGUUUUUUUAUUACGCACAUUGCUGUUUACUUUUUUGCAAUAAUAAUCGAUAUAACAGAAAUGCACUAACAAUAGAGGAAAACAAUCGAUACUAACAAUACAACCAUCGAUAGUUUCGAGUUUCUAGUUUUGCAACUUUGGGAACAGUGUUGCCGACUCUACUUGCCUUUGUUAAAAUUUCAAACAAAAGUUCCCUGUGUGGCAAUGGAUACAUAUAAAUCAACUAAAACCUUCGUUUAACAAUAAUUUCUUUUAACUUAAAAAAUAAAUAUCUUUUUAAGUUAUUUUGUUUUUAGCGCAUAUUUUCAUAGAGUAUUGUCGCAAUAGAAGUGAUUUAUGUGUCUGAUUUCAGUUUUAUUAAUUAUAAAUAUCGCUUCAUAUACAUAUGUAAGUAUUUAAAUUCAGGCUUGCAAAGUCUUUAACAUAUUCGUAUAAUAAUUCAUUAUCGACAUUGGUUACGUCAUCUCUUUGAAUGAUGUAUGCGUGAAAAUAUUAUGUCGAUGAAAUGUCCCCUUCAUUUGUAAAUAGCUCCACAAAAGGGAAAUUUCCGUAACUUAACAACACUGCUUGGAAAUAUAAACAAAGUGUCAAAAAAUGCAGAAACUAUAAAAUGAAGUGAAGUGAAUUACAAAAUAUGCAGCUAUUGUAUAUUACGUGCGUUCAUAAAAGCGAGCUACGCAGUUGCUACGAAGCUCUGCAAUUGGUUAUUUGUGCACAAGUUGGAGCGUUUUGCAAUGGCUUGGAUAAUAAGUGCAACCCCGCUACCUGAUCGUCCUCGCCAGCGAUAUACUCGAAAGCGACAAACACACCCCGCUAUUUCAAGGAUCAACGCGAUGCAAGCACAUUUCGCUUUACCUCCAUUGCUCCAUCCAGCCAAAAUAAGGUUCGUUUGAACUUACACCAGACACAGUGACGUAAAAUGGGACGCAUGCUUCGCAAAACAUCUUCCGAAUGAAAUGAGGGAUGCAACCGGCAAGGAUACUACAGUUUCUAAUUCGGUUUCUAUAUUCCCAGCAGAGACCUACGUUCGCAUCACAACGCCAUCAACUCCAGAAUCGGCUCCAAAUAAUGCAAUCGCUUUAUAGUGCAUGAAUGCAGCAGAAGCCAUUACUCCUAACCUAAUCCUAAUGUGACGCAAUGUUAAAGAGCCCCCACAUGCAAUUUAAUUAAAAAAAUUUCUGCAAAAUCGAUGACAAUUAAUGCCAUUUGAUUAAACUCCCUUCUUUUUUUAUCGAAAUAUGCAUUACAUAUAGAGUUUAAUAAAGGCAUUAAUUGCCAUCGAUUAUGCAGAAAUUGUUUUAAAUUAAAAUGCAUAAAAAUUACAAAUUUCUUUUAGUUAUAAAUUCCUAAAAAAAAAUUAAAUUUUUUUACAAAAAUUUCUGUUUUGUGUACGGCCUUGUGCGAGUGCAGAAUACAUGUACGAAGUUCACAAAGUUGUAAGCCAAGGCUUUUUUUUUGGAAAUGGUUAAAAAUUCUUGUUGUUAAUGCUAAGUAGAAGAAAGGUAAUUUAAUUACUUUUCUGUUUGUUACAAAUUCUUUCAAAAAAAUAAACUUUUUUUCCAAAAUUUCUAUGUUUUGUGAACGGCCUUGUGCGAGUGUUCACAAAGUUGUAAGCCAAGGCUUUUUUUUGGGUAAAUGGUUAAAAAUUCUUGUUGUUAAUGUUAAUUACAGUAAAGGUAGUCCUUUUAUUUUUCUUCUAGAUAUAAAUUAUUUUAAAUAAAUUCACUUUUGUUAUAAAAGUUUUAAAGUUUUGUGUACUGCCAUAUGCGAGUGUAAAAUACAAAGUUGUUAGCCAAGGCUUGUUUAACACAAAAUUUUUGAGAAUCAUGAAUGGUUACACAUAUGAAAAUAAAGGAAAUUUAAUUUAAUUCAGUUGGUCAUAAAUUUUUUUAAAAAAAGAAACUUUUAUUGUAAAAAUUUUGAAGUUUUGUAUACUGCAUACAAUGGUACCCGCAAGGGAUGAGUCGAGACU